AUAGCUCCUUAAUCUUAUCAGCACCAAUUAAAUUCGUAUCAACUUAGGCAAAUUAAGACUCUUUUACAGUCUCUUACUUCAUGAAUUCAUGUAAAUUCUUUUAAAACAUGCUAUUUCAACUUCAAAAUACAUUCAUCUCAAACCUCCUAAUAAACCCGACUCUGUUCUUGCCUUUCUCACCAAUAAUGGCUUCUCAAAAAGAAAAAUCACGAACCUCAUCAAGAAAUUCCCAGCAGUAU
This 239-nucleotide long non-coding RNA is filed under the name Carica papaya (papaya). RNAcentral's name for it is "long non-coding RNA (CPAP_LNC003789)". The record is from RNAcentral. Lineage: Eukaryota; Viridiplantae; Streptophyta; Magnoliopsida; Brassicales; Caricaceae.